CACGCCCUAAACGAUGUCGACUAGUUGUUCGGGAAGGUGACUUCUUGAGUAACGUAGCUAACGCGUGAAGUCGACCGCCUGGGGANCAACGCGAAAAACCUUACCUACCCUUGACAUGUCUGGAAGUCUGCAGAGAUGCGGAUGUGCCUUCGGGAACCAGAACACAGGUGC
This 171-nucleotide ribosomal RNA is filed under the name uncultured bacterium. RNAcentral describes it as "partial 16S ribosomal RNA". It matches the Rfam family "Bacterial small subunit ribosomal RNA", at positions 796 to 1041 of the family's 1533-position model. The record is from RNAcentral.